AUUGAACGCUGGCGGCAUGCUUUACACAUGCAAGUCGAACGGUAACAGGCCGCAAGGUGCUGACGAGUGGCGAACGGGUGAGUAAUGCAUCGGAACGUGCCCAGCCGUGGGGGAUAACUACUCGAAAGAGUAGCUAAUACCGCAUACGAUCUGUGGAUGAAAGCGGGGGACCGUAAGGCCUCGCGCGAUUGGAGCGGCCGAUGUCAGAUUAGGUAGUUGGUGGGGUAAAGGCUCACCAAGCCAACGAUCUGUAGCUGGUCUGAGAGGACGACCAGCCACACUGGGACUGAGACACGGCCCAGACUCCUACGGGAGGCAGCAGUGGGGAAUUUUGGACAAUGGGCGCAAGCCUGAUCCAGCAAUGCCGCGUGCAGGAAGAAGGCCUUCGGGUUGUAAACUGCUUUUGUACGGAACGAAACGGCUCUGGUUAAUACCCGGGGCUAAUGACGGUACCGUAAGAAUAAGCACCGGCUAACUACGUG
This 482-nucleotide ribosomal RNA is filed under the name uncultured bacterium. Its description in RNAcentral is "partial 16S ribosomal RNA". It matches the Rfam family "Bacterial small subunit ribosomal RNA", at positions 30 to 507 of the family's 1533-position model. The record is from RNAcentral.